This 494-nucleotide ribosomal RNA is filed under the name uncultured bacterium. RNAcentral's name for it is "partial 16S ribosomal RNA". It matches the Rfam family "Bacterial small subunit ribosomal RNA", at positions 28 to 507 of the family's 1533-position model. The record is from RNAcentral.
GACGAACGCUGGCGGCGUGCUUAACACAUGCAAGUCGAACGGUGAAGCGCCUUCCUUUUUGGUGGGUGUGGAUGAGUGGCGAACGGGUGAGUAACACGUGAGUAACCUGCCCCCUUCUUCUGGAUAACCGCAUGAAAGUGUGGCUAAUACGGGAUAUUCUGGGUCUGUCGCAUGAUGGGUCUGGGAAAGAUAUUGUUUCGGUGGGGGAUGGGCUCGCGGCCUAUCAGCUUGUUGGUGGGGUGAUGGCCUACCAAGGCGGUGACGGGUAGCCGGCCUGAGAGGGUGGACGGUCACACGGGGACUGAGACACGGCCCAGACUCCGACGGGAGGCAGCAGUGUGGAAUAUUGCACAAUGGGCGUAAGCCUGAUGCAGCGACGCCGCGUGAGGGAUGGAGGCCUUCGGGUUGUGAUCCUCUUUCGCCAGUGAAGCAGGCCUGCCUCGUUUGUGGGUGGGUUGACGGUAGCUGGAUAAGAAGCGCCGGCUAACUACGUG